Molecule: ribosomal RNA, 486 nt
Filed under: uncultured bacterium
Lineage: Bacteria
Description: bacterial SSU rRNA
Rfam family: Bacterial small subunit ribosomal RNA
Source: RNAcentral
GAUGAACGCUGGCGGCGUGCCUAAUACAUGCAAGUCGAGCGGUAAGGCUUUCACUCUGUAUUUAAUGAGUUGAAUAUAGUGUGAAAGUACACGAGCGGCGGACGGCUGAGUAACGCGUAGGAACGUACCCCAAAGUGAGGGAUAAGCACCGGAAACGGUGUCUAAUACCGCAUGUGAUCUUCGGAUUAAAGCUUUAUGCGCUUUGAGAGCGGCCUGCGUAAGAUUAGUUUGUUGGUGAGGUAAUGGCUCACCAAGACUACGAUCUUUAGCUGGUCUGAGAGGAUGAUCAGCCAGACUGGGACUGAGACACGGCCCAGACUCCUACGGGAGGCAGCAGUAGGGAAUUUCCACAAUGGACGAAAGUCUGAUGGAGCAACGCCGCGUGCAGGAUGAAGGCCUUCGGGUUGUAAACUGCUUUAUCUGUGACGAUUAUGACGGUAGCAGAUGAAUAAGGAUCGGCUAACUCCGUGCCAGCAGCCGCGGUAA